RNAcentral lists this non-coding RNA (56 nucleotides) under unclassified sequences. The record is from RNAcentral.
CAGGGCUUGCGCAGACGCCCCGCCGCAUCGCUGGCCCCGCGCCAUCCAAGUUCUGC